Molecule: non-coding RNA, 65 nt
Filed under: Mucilaginibacter pedocola
Lineage: Bacteria; Pseudomonadati; Bacteroidota; Sphingobacteriia; Sphingobacteriales; Sphingobacteriaceae
Description: Fluoride sequence
Rfam family: Fluoride riboswitch aptamer (crcB RNA motif)
Source: Rfam by way of RNAcentral
UUCACGAAGGGCGAUGGUGCUCCGCCUAUUUGAACCGCUGCAAGGCUGAUGGCUCCCACUCAAAU